UUUAUAUAAAAUAUUUUGAUGAAUAUUUAUCUAAUAUUAACAUAAUUCAUAUUACUAUAUAUUUUAGUAUAUGAAAUUUUACUUUGAGAAAAUUAGAGUGCUUAAAGCAGGCAUAUGCCUUGAAUACUCCAGCAUGGAAUAAUAUUAAAGAUUUUUAUCUUUCUUAUUGGUUCUAAGAUAAGAAUAAUGAUUAAUAGGGACAGUUGGGGGCAUUUGUAUUUAACAGUCAGAGGUGAAAUUCUUAGAUUUGUUAAAGACAAACUAAUGCGAAAGCAUUUGCCAAGGAUGUUUUCAUUAAUCAAGAACGAAAGUUAGGGGAGCGUAUACGAUUUUAUGCCGUCGGGAUUCUUAUCCCCAAAAUCCCCUCAAAAUAUUUGAUAUAAGUUAUUAACAGGAAAACCAACUACGAGC
Molecule: ribosomal RNA, 411 nt
Filed under: Cryptosporidium parvum
Lineage: Eukaryota; Apicomplexa; Conoidasida; Eucoccidiorida; Cryptosporidiidae
Description: bacterial SSU rRNA
Rfam family: Eukaryotic small subunit ribosomal RNA
Source: RNAcentral